UAUGACAUAAUUUUUAUAAAAUUAUUUUUAAUGCUAGGUCAAAUGAAUUGUUCAUUCAUCCUCUCUCUGACCAACCAAUAUUUAUAGACCAUUUCCUUUGUGCAAAAAGCUGUACUGAGAAUCCAAAAAGGUAUAUAUCUCAUCUCUGCCGCCAAUUAGUUUACAACAGGACUGCUGGGGAAAGAAGAGGUGGAGCAGAGUGCCUGCCAGAUCUGGAGUACAGAAGAGGAUAAAGCCCUGGAGUCAGAGAGCCACAUGAGAGAAGGAGCUUGGGCCUGGAAUCAUUGUCGGAGCAGAGCAUACCACCCUCAAUCCACAUCAGACUGACACGAACAAGAAAAACUUCCUUUGGCAAAGCAUUGCAGGCACGUGGUCCUCUGGUCGAGUGGUCUAAACUUUUGGAAGGGGCAAACAGAUCUCCAGAGACCUUAUGACAGAAGACAGUGACUGACUAUGGGAAAUUGAAAUCAUGCAAAGCAAAAC
Gorilla gorilla gorilla (western lowland gorilla) is the source of this 483-nucleotide long non-coding RNA. RefSeq lists it as uncharacterized. The record is from RefSeq and is a predicted model, not a curated record. The transcript is spliced from 4 exons. NCBI's taxonomy places the organism in Eukaryota, Metazoa, Chordata, Mammalia, Primates, Hominidae.